GACGAACGCUGGCGGCGUGCUUAACACAUGCAAGUCGAACGUUGAAGCCCUUCGGGGUGGAUCAGUGGCGAACGGGUGAGUAACACGUGAGCAACCUGCCCCUGGCUCUGGGACAACCACUGGAAACGGUGGCUAAUACCGGAUACGACCCGCCUCGGCAUCGAGUGUGGGUGGAAAGUUUUUCGGCUGGGGAUGGGCUCGCGGCCUAUCAGCUUGUUGGUGAGGUGAAGGCUCACCAAGGCGACGACGGGUAGCCGGCCUGAGAGGGCGACCGGCCACACUGGGACUGAGACACGGCCCAGACUCCUACGGGAGGCAGCAGUGGGGAAUAUUGCACAAUGGGCGAAAGCCUGAUGCAGCGACGCCGCGUGAGGGAUGACGGCCUUCGGGUUGUAAACCUCUUUCAGCUCCGAAGAAGCGAAAGUGACGGUAGGAGCAGAAGAAGCACCGGCUAACUACGUG
RNAcentral lists this ribosomal RNA (462 nucleotides) under uncultured bacterium. RNAcentral describes it as "partial 16S ribosomal RNA". It matches the Rfam family "Bacterial small subunit ribosomal RNA", at positions 28 to 507 of the family's 1533-position model. The record is from RNAcentral.